Molecule: ribosomal RNA, 491 nt
Filed under: uncultured bacterium
Lineage: Bacteria
Description: partial 16S ribosomal RNA
Rfam family: Bacterial small subunit ribosomal RNA
Source: RNAcentral
AGUGAACGCUGGCGGUAGGCCUAACACAUGCAAGUCGAACGGCAGCACAGUAAGAGCUUGCCCUUACGGGUGGCGAGUGGCGGACGGGUGAGGAUACAUCGGAAUCUACUUUUUCGUGGGGGAUAACGGAGGGAAACUUACGCUAAUACCGCAUACGUCCUACGGGUGAAAGCAAGAGAUCUUAGGACCUUCCGCGAUUGAUUGUGCCGAUGUCGGAUUAGCUAGUUGGCGGGGUAAAGGCCCACCAAGGCGACGAUCCGUAGCCGACCUGAGAGGGUGAUCAGCCACACUGGAACUGAGACACGGUCCAGACUCCUACGGGAGGCAGCAGUAGGGAAUAUUGCGCAAUGGGCGCAAGCCUGACCCAGCCAUACCGCGUGAGUGAAGAAGGCCUUCGGGUCGUAAAGCCCUUUUGUUAGGAAAGAAAAGCAGCAGAUUAAUAUCCGGCUGUUCUGACGGUACCCAAACAAUAAGCACCGGCUAACUUCGUG